GAUCCUGGCUCAGAUUGAACGCUGGCGGCAGGCCUAACACAUGCAAGUCGAACGGUAACAGGAAGAAGCUUGCCUCUUUGCUGACGAGUGGCGGACGGGUGAGUAAUGUCUGGGAAACUGCCUGAUGGAGGUGGAUAACUACUGGAAACGGUAGCUAAUACCGCAUAACGUCGCAAGACCAAAGAGGGGGACCUUCGGGCCUCUUGCCAUCGGAUGUGCCCAGAUGGGAUUAGCUAGUAGGG
This 242-nucleotide ribosomal RNA is filed under the name uncultured bacterium. Its description in RNAcentral is "partial 16S ribosomal RNA". It matches the Rfam family "Bacterial small subunit ribosomal RNA", at positions 15 to 253 of the family's 1533-position model. The record is from RNAcentral.